This 72-nucleotide transfer RNA is filed under the name Entamoeba moshkovskii. RNAcentral's name for it is "tRNA-Thr". Lineage: Eukaryota; Evosea; Mastigamoebida; Endamoebidae. The record is from RNAcentral.
GGUCCGAUCCCCAUAGUCGCCUUGAGAUUUUUAAGGAAAAGAAAGAAUAGUGAAAGAAGAUUGAAGUAAGAG